RNAcentral lists this ribosomal RNA (269 nucleotides) under uncultured bacterium. Its description in RNAcentral is "partial 16S ribosomal RNA". It matches the Rfam family "Bacterial small subunit ribosomal RNA", at positions 85 to 354 of the family's 1533-position model. The record is from RNAcentral.
UGUUAAGUUAGUGGCGGACGGGUGAGUAACGCGUGGGUAACCUGUCGUAUACCGGGGGAUAACACCUGGAAACAGGUGCUAAUACCGCAUAAGCGCACGGGACCGCAUGGUCCAGUGUGAAAAACCGAGGUGGUAUGCGAUGGACCCGCGUCUGAUUAGCCAGUUGGCAGGGUAACGGCCUACCAAAGCGACGAUCAGUAGCCGGCCUGAGAGGGUGGACGGCCACAUUGGGACUGAGACACGGCCCAAACUCCUACGGAAGGCAGCAG